This 274-nucleotide long non-coding RNA is filed under the name Trifolium pratense (red clover). Its description in RNAcentral is "long non-coding RNA (TPRA_LNC008850)". The record is from RNAcentral. Lineage: Eukaryota; Viridiplantae; Streptophyta; Magnoliopsida; Fabales; Fabaceae.
AAAUCCAUGUUAUCUUGUUGUGUUAUUCAUUUGUGUGUUGUUUUGAGAAAAAUGGGUUUUUAUAUGAUUUAAUGAAUUAAUGAUGAUGAAUCUUGAUGAUUUGGUGUUGAUUGUUGAUGGAAUGAUGUUUGUUGAGGUUCAAAUAUCAUGAGUGUUGAUUAGUUAAGUCUUAUGACUAAUGGGAUUCAAAUUGGGUUUUUGGAAAAUCAAAGAUUGAAUUUUUAUAGUUUAAGAAAAACUGUUUUUGAUAAAGUCUGAAGCAAAAACGUGAAAA